UUUUCUUUUGGCGUUGCCUUGUAGUUCAAUAAAUGCUCACUUACUUGUGUUUGUGCUAUAUGCAGGUUUCCGGAGGAUUUUAUAUUACGAUUGAUCAGUGAUUUGCUCGUUUGAUUGUGUCGUUGUCAAGCGUGCGUCUUCUCUUUUGUUUGAUCGUGGUGGUGGUCCAUGCACUGUGGGAUUGCUCUUUGAAUCUUAUCUCCUCGUCUUGGUUCGUGUCUUCUAAUUGCUACAUCUUCUAAUGACUUUAUGAGAUUUGCUAUUGUGAGGUAUGAUUUGUUCAGUUUCCA
Molecule: non-coding RNA, 290 nt
Organism: Camelina sativa (false flax)
Lineage: Eukaryota; Viridiplantae; Streptophyta; Magnoliopsida; Brassicales; Brassicaceae
Source: RefSeq, a predicted model, not a curated record